UACGUAGGGUGCAAGCGUUGUCCGGAAUUAUUGGGCGUAAAGAGCUUGUAGGCGGUUUGUCGCGUCUGCUGUGAAAAUCCAGGGCUUAACCCUGGAACUGCAGUGGGUACGGGCAGACUAGAGUGCGGUAGGGGAGAUCGGAAUUCCUGGUGUAGCGGUGAAAUGCGCAGAUAUCAGGAGGAACACCGGUGGCGAAGGCGGAUCUCUGGGCCGUAACUGACGCUGAGGAGCGAAAGCAUGGGGAGCGAACAGG
Molecule: ribosomal RNA, 253 nt
Filed under: uncultured bacterium
Lineage: Bacteria
Description: partial 16S ribosomal RNA
Rfam family: Bacterial small subunit ribosomal RNA
Source: RNAcentral